Molecule: ribosomal RNA, 253 nt
Filed under: uncultured bacterium
Lineage: Bacteria
Description: partial 16S ribosomal RNA
Rfam family: Bacterial small subunit ribosomal RNA
Source: RNAcentral
AACGUAGGACGCAAGCGUUAUCCGGAAUUACUGGGCGUAAAGCGCGUGUAGGCGGAUCAUUAAGUCACUGGUGAAAGCACCGGGCUAAACUCGGUGAGGUUCGGUGAGACUGGUGGUCUGGAGUAUGUCAGAGGGGUGCGGAAUUCCGGGUGUAGUGGUGAAAUGCGUAGAGAUCCGGAGGAACACCAGAGGCGAAGGCGGCACCCUGGGACAAAACUGACGCUGAGACGCGAAAGCAUGGGUAGCGAACGGG